GAUGAACGCUGGCGGCGUGCCUAAUACAUGCAAGUCGAGCGAACAGACGAGGAGCUUGCUCCUCUGACGUUAGCGGCGGACGGGUGAGUAACACGUGGAUAACCUACCUAUAAGACUGGGAUAACUUCGGGAAACCGGAGCUAAUACCGGAUAAUAUAUUGAACCGCAUGGUUCAAUAGUGAAAGACGGUUUUGCUGUCACUUCUAGAUGGAUCCGCGCCGCAUUAGCUAGUUGGUAAGGUAACGGCUUACCAAGGCAACGAUGCGUAGCCGACCGGAGAGGGUGAUCGGCCACACUGGAACUGAGACACGGUCCAGACUCCUACGGGAGGCAGCAGUAGGGAAUCUUCCGCAAUGGGCGAAAGCUUGACGGAGCGACGCCGCGUGAGUGAUGAAGGUCUUCGGAUCGUAAAACUCUGUUAUUAGGGAAGAACAAAUGUGUAAGUAACUAUGCACGUCUUGACGGUACCUAAUCAGAAAGCCACGGCUAACUACGUG
This 497-nucleotide ribosomal RNA is filed under the name uncultured bacterium. RNAcentral's name for it is "partial 16S ribosomal RNA". It matches the Rfam family "Bacterial small subunit ribosomal RNA", at positions 28 to 507 of the family's 1533-position model. The record is from RNAcentral.